This 294-nucleotide long non-coding RNA is filed under the name Ananas comosus (pineapple). RNAcentral describes it as "long non-coding RNA (ACOM_LNC041077)". Lineage: Eukaryota; Viridiplantae; Streptophyta; Magnoliopsida; Poales; Bromeliaceae. The record is from RNAcentral.
GUUAAACGAGAAAACGCCUCUUAUCGACCAUUAAAAUUACAAAUUUUGAAACCCUUUGAUCAUUAGGCAAAUAAUAUCGAAAAGAUUUGAAAUUUGAUUUCUAAACAUUCAAGUGGUAUAGAUCAUGUUCAACGGAGCCGAUCGUCAAUUUGGAAGUUUUAUCAUCGAAAACAAAUCGGUAGUAAAACAGUUUGUUUACUACUGAUAGUAUUCUAGCUCAACUCUCUCUCUCUCUCUCUUUCUUUCUCUCUCUCUCUCUCUCUCUCUCUCUAUCUAUAUAUAUAUAUAUAUAAA